Non-coding RNA from Pelobates cultripes (western spadefoot toad), 962 nucleotides. NCBI's taxonomy places the organism in Eukaryota, Metazoa, Chordata, Amphibia, Anura, Pelobatidae. The record is from the annotation of a GenBank genome assembly.
GUCUCCAGUACUGUGUACAAUACUCCAAGUGAGGUCUCACCAGUGUUCUGUACAAUGGCAUGAGCACUUCCCUCUUUCUACUGCUAAUACCUCUCCCUAUACAACCAAGCAUUCUGCUAGCAUUUCCUGCUGCUCUAUUACAUUGUCUGCCUACCUUUAAGUCAUCAGAAAUAAUCACCCCUAAAUCCCUUUCCUGAUAUGUUGAGGUUAAAUAAUCACCCCUACAUGUGAGUCCUGGGAUGUGAAGUUUAAAUGCUGAGCUACCUGUUGAGUGGCUCAUCCCUGCUGUAUAUUAACAGUUGCCAUGAGGGAUAGAUGGUUACCACAUAUAAAAUGGCCACAUAUCGAACAACAAACUUUACAUUAAUCAAAAGAGCAUAAAACCAUUUACACGUGUUGUGUUAACCAGCCCUUAUACUUUACCGUCUAUGCCAUUUUAGAAGAAAAUUAUACUGAUCACAUGCCUGUGGGGUUUUUCAUAUGUGAAAAAGAUCCUGGUGACAACAUAUUUUCUGGGAUAUUCCAUUUAGCAUUGUUUGUUAGUCUUGUUCAUGCUCACUACCCCAUUCAUAUAAAGGGGACUACAUGUACUGUAUAGUUCAAUUUUGGCUGUAUGAGCAAAAUGUUAACAGGACUGCUGUCCCAUACCACAUCACAAUCUAAAAUGUUAUUGUAGUGAAAAAAAACAAAAAAACUCUUUGGUGGUUGGCAUAAUGCUUUCAGUGUGGGAUCAAAUCUGCUCUCCAACUUAAAAAAAAAAUGGUAAUGCAACACAAGGGAAUUUUGUUUGUGCAUUCAUGUUAAUUCAGUGUUUUGAAGUGGAGGAUUUUAUUGGUUAAGGUGGUUUUAUUGAUUUAUUAUUUUGUUUUGUUUUUUUGAACUUGGAAAUGGCAUCUUUAGGAAUCCACCAUUAGGUCACAGAAUUAGUAUUCCAAGAAGAAGAUAAUAAACAUGUACGCAUU